UUCUGAUUUAGCUAAUCAGGCUGUUAGCAAGAUUAAUGAAGGUAUCUCAAAGAUUACAGCUUAUGCAGAUGAAGUU
Molecule: transfer RNA, 76 nt
Filed under: Salmonella phage FSL SP-107
Lineage: Duplodnaviria; Heunggongvirae; Uroviricota; Caudoviricetes; Andersonviridae
Description: tRNA-Cys
Source: RNAcentral